GACUCUGUAGCUCAGUUGGUAGAGCAGCUGACUCUUAAUCAGCGGGUCCAGGGUUCGAGUCCCUGCAGGGUCACCA
RNAcentral lists this transfer RNA (76 nucleotides) under Bacteroidia bacterium. RNAcentral's name for it is "tRNA-Lys". It matches the Rfam family "tRNA". Rfam says of the family: Transfer RNA (tRNA) molecules are approximately 80 nucleotides in length. The record is from RNAcentral. Lineage: Bacteria; Pseudomonadati; Bacteroidota; Bacteroidia.